GAUGAACGCUGGCGGCGUGCCUAAUACACGCAAGUCGAGCGAACGGACGAGAAGCUUGCUUCUCUGAUGUUAGCGGCGGACGGGUGAGUAACACGUGGAUAACCUACCUAUAAGACUGGGAUAACUUCGGGAAACCGGAGCUAAUACCGGAUGAUAUUUUGAACCGCAUGGUUCAAAAGUGAAAGACGGUCUUGCUGUCACUUAUAGAUGGAUCCGCGCUGCAUUAGCUAGUUGGUAAGGUAACGGCUUAACAAGGCAACGAUGCAUAGCCGACCUGAGAGGGUGAUCGGCCACACUGGAACUGAGACACGGUCCAGACUCCUACGGGAGGCAGCAGUAGGGAAUCUUCCGCAAUGGGCGAAAGCCUGACGGAGCAACGCCGCGUGAGUGAUGAAGGUCUUCGGAUCGUAAAACUCUGUUAUUAGGGAAGAACAUAUGUGUAAGUAACUGUGCACAUCUUGACGGUACCUAAUCAGAAAGCCACGGCUAACUACGUG
Molecule: ribosomal RNA, 497 nt
Filed under: uncultured bacterium
Lineage: Bacteria
Description: partial 16S ribosomal RNA
Rfam family: Bacterial small subunit ribosomal RNA
Source: RNAcentral